UGCACCCUACGGGAGGCAGCAGUAGGGAAUCUUCCACAAUGGGCGAAAGCCUGAUGGAGCAACGCCGCGUGGGUGAAGAAGGUCUUCGGAUCGUAAAACCCUCUUGUUAGAGAAGAAAGUGCGUGAGAGUAACUGUUCACGUUUCGACGGUAUCUAACCAGAAAGCCACGGCUAACUACGUGCCAGCAGCCGCGGUAAUACGUAGGUGGCAAGCGUUAUCCGGAUUUAUUGGGCGUAAAGGGAACGCAGGCGGUCUUUUAAGUCUGGUGUGAAAGCCUUGGGCUUAACGGGAGUAGUGCAUUGGA
RNAcentral lists this ribosomal RNA (305 nucleotides) under uncultured bacterium. Its description in RNAcentral is "bacterial SSU rRNA". It matches the Rfam family "Bacterial small subunit ribosomal RNA", at positions 332 to 630 of the family's 1533-position model. The record is from RNAcentral.